This 389-nucleotide ribosomal RNA is filed under the name uncultured Bacteroidales bacterium. RNAcentral's name for it is "bacterial SSU rRNA". It matches the Rfam family "Bacterial small subunit ribosomal RNA", at positions 22 to 402 of the family's 1533-position model. The record is from RNAcentral. Lineage: Bacteria; Pseudomonadati; Bacteroidota; Bacteroidia; Bacteroidales.
GCUCAGGAUGAACGCUAGCUACAGGCUUAACACAUGCAAGUCGAGGGGCAGCAUGAACUUAGCUUGCUAAGUUUGAUGGCGACCGGCGCACGGGUGAGUAACACGUAUCCAACCUUCCCAUUACUCGGGGAUAGCCUUUCGAAAGAAAGAUUAAUACCCGAUAGUACUUUUUUGAGGCAUCUCAAAACAGUUAAAGAUUUAUUGGUAAUGGAUGGGGAUGCGUUCCAUUAGAUUGUUGGUGAGGUAACGGCUCACCAAGUCUUCGAUGGAUAGGGGUUCUGAGAGGAAGGUCCCCCACAUUGGUACUGAGACACGGACCAAACUCCUACGGGAGGCAGCAGUGAGGAAUAUUGGUCAAUGGGCGAGAGCCUGAACCAGCCAAGUAGCGU